Molecule: small nucleolar RNA, 123 nt
Organism: Quercus robur (English oak)
Lineage: Eukaryota; Viridiplantae; Streptophyta; Magnoliopsida; Fagales; Fagaceae
Source: RefSeq, a predicted model, not a curated record
ACCAAUUCUGGAGGAUAAAUAUAGUUCCUCUUGAUGUAAUGGCUCGGGCGCUAUAUCAAAUUGUGGCUAUCCUGAUCAAUGGUUCUUCAAUCCCAUAUGAUCCUGGAAACACCUCAUACAUUU